AGAUGUGUAGUUAAAUGGUAAACCACUUGCCUUGAAUGCAAGAAGCCUAGGAUUCAAAUCCUAGCACCACCA
Molecule: transfer RNA, 72 nt
Filed under: Heterocephalus glaber (naked mole-rat)
Lineage: Eukaryota; Metazoa; Chordata; Mammalia; Rodentia; Bathyergidae
Rfam family: tRNA
About the family: Transfer RNA (tRNA) molecules are approximately 80 nucleotides in length. Their secondary structure includes four short double-helical elements and three loops (D, anti-codon, and T loops). Further hydrogen bonds mediate the characteristic L-shaped molecular structure. tRNAs have two regions of fundamental functional importance: the anti-codon, which is responsible for specific mRNA codon recognition, and the 3' end, to which the tRNAs corresponding amino acid is attached (by aminoacyl-tRNA synthetases). tRNAs cope with the degeneracy of the genetic code in two manners: having more than one tRNA (with a specific anti-codon) for a particular amino acid; and 'wobble' base-pairing, i.e. permitting non-standard base-pairing at the 3rd anti-codon position.
Source: Rfam by way of RNAcentral